CCUACGGGCGGCUGCAGUGAGGAAUUUUGGUCAAUGGACGGAAGUCUGAACCAGCCAAGUCGCGUGAAGGAAGGCGGCCCUAAGGGUUGUAAACUUCUUUUGUAAGGGAAUAAAGUGCGUUACGUGUAGUGCAUUGCAAGUACCUUACGAAUAAGGAUCGGCUAACUCCGUGCCAGCAGCCGCGGUAAUACGGAGGAUCCGAGCGUUAUCCGGAUUUAUUGGGUUUAAAGGGUGCGCAGGCGGGGGAUUAGGUCGGCGGUGAAAUAUCAGGGCUCAACCUUGAGAGUGCCGUCGAAACCGGUUUUCUUGAGUGCGGAUGAAGUAGGCGGAAUUUGUGGUGUAGCGGUGAAAUGCGUAGAUAUCACAAAGAACACCGAUUGCGGAGGCAGCUUACUAAACCGCAACUGACGCUCAUGCACGAAGGCGUGGGGAUCAAACAGGCUUAGAUACCCCAGUAGUC
Molecule: ribosomal RNA, 460 nt
Filed under: uncultured Proteiniphilum sp.
Lineage: Bacteria; Pseudomonadati; Bacteroidota; Bacteroidia; Bacteroidales; Dysgonomonadaceae
Description: bacterial SSU rRNA
Rfam family: Bacterial small subunit ribosomal RNA
Source: RNAcentral